This 763-nucleotide ribosomal RNA is filed under the name uncultured bacterium. RNAcentral's name for it is "bacterial SSU rRNA". It matches the Rfam family "Bacterial small subunit ribosomal RNA", at positions 8 to 762 of the family's 1533-position model. The record is from RNAcentral.
AGAGUUUGAUCCUGGCUCAGGACGAACGCUGGCGGCGUGCUUAACACAUGCAAGUCGAGCGGUAGCACAGAGAGCUUGCUCUCGGGUGACGAGCGGCGGACGGGUGAGUAAUGUCUGGGAAACUGCCUGAUGGAGGGGGAUAACUACUGGAAACGGUAGCUAAUACCGCAUAACGUCGCAAGACCAAAGUGGGGGACCUUCGGGCCUCAUGCCAUCAGAUGUGCCCAGAUGGGAUUAGCUAGUAGGUGGGGUAACGGCUCACCUAGGCGACGAUCCCUAGCUGGUCUGAGAGGAUGACCAGCCACACUGGAACUGAGACACGGUCCAGACUCCUACGGGAGGCAGCAGUGGGGAAUAUUGCACAAUGGGCGCAAGCCUGAUGCAGCCAUGCCGCGUGUGUGAAGAAGGCCUUCGGGUUGUAAAGCACUUUCAGCGGGGAGGAAGGCGAUAAGGUUAAUAACCUUGUCGAUUGACGUUACCCGCAGAAGAAGCACCGGCUAACUCCGUGCCAGCAGCCGCGGUAAUACGGAGGGUGCAAGCGUUAAUCGGAAUUACUGGGCGUAAAGCGCACGCAGGCGGUCUGUCAAGUCGGAUGUGAAAUCCCCGGGCUCAACCUGGGAACUGCAUUCGAAACUGGCAGGCUAGAGUCUUGUAGAGGGGGGUAGAAUUCCAGGUGUAGCGGUGAAAUGCGUAGAGAUCUGGAGGAAUACCGGUGGCGAAGGCGGCCCCCUGGACAAAGACUGACGCUCAGGUGCGAAAGCGU